Molecule: ribosomal RNA, 460 nt
Filed under: uncultured bacterium
Lineage: Bacteria
Description: partial 16S ribosomal RNA
Rfam family: Bacterial small subunit ribosomal RNA
Source: RNAcentral
CCUACGAGAGGCAGCAGUGAGGAAUAUUGGUCAAUGGGCGCGAGCCUGAACCAGCCAAGUAGCGUGAAGGAUGACUGCCCUACGGGUUGUAAACUUCUUUUAUAAAGGAAUAAAGUGAGGCACGUGUGCCUUUUUGUAUGUACUUUAUGAAUAAGGAUCGGAUAACUCCGUGCCAGCAGCCGCGGUAAUCCGGAGGAUCCGAUCGUUAUCCGGAUUUAUUGGGUUUAAAGGGAGCGUAGAUGGGUUGUUAAGUCAGUUGUGAAAGUUUGCGGCUCAACCGUAAAAUUGCAAUUGAUAAUGGCAGUCUUGAGUACAGUUGAGGUAGGCGGAAUUCGUGGUGUAGCGGUGAAAUGCUUAGAUAUCACGAAGAACUCCGAUUGCGAAGGCAGCUUACUAAACUGCCACUGACAUUGAUGCUCGAAAGUGUGGGUAUCAAACAGGAUUAGAUACCCUUGUAGUC